RNAcentral lists this ribosomal RNA (491 nucleotides) under uncultured bacterium. RNAcentral describes it as "partial 16S ribosomal RNA". It matches the Rfam family "Bacterial small subunit ribosomal RNA", at positions 29 to 507 of the family's 1533-position model. The record is from RNAcentral.
GUGAACGCUGGCGGUAGGCCUAACACAUGCCAGUCGAACGGCAGCACGGUAAGAGCUUGCUCUUACGGGUGGCGAGUGGCGGACGGGUGAGGAAUACAUCGGAAUCUACUUUUUCGUGGGGGAUAACGUAGGGAAACUUACGCUAAUACCGCAUACGACCUACGGGUGAAAGCAGGGGAUCUUCGGACCUUGCGCGAUUGAAUGAGCCGAUGUCGGAUUAGCUAGUUGGCGGGGUAAAGGCCCACCAAGGCGACGAUCCGUAGCUGGUCUGAGAGGAUGAUCAGCCACACUGGAACUGAGACACGGUCCAGACUCCUACGGGAGGCAGCAGUGGGGAAUAUUGGACAAUGGGCGCAAGCCUGAUCCAGCCAUACCGCGUGGGUGAAGAAGGCCUUCGGGUUGUAAAGCCCUUUUGUUGGGAAAGAAAAGCAGCAGGUUAAUACCCCGCUGUUCUGACGGUACCCAAAGAAUAAGCACCGGCUAACUUCGUG